This 488-nucleotide ribosomal RNA is filed under the name uncultured bacterium. Its description in RNAcentral is "bacterial SSU rRNA". It matches the Rfam family "Bacterial small subunit ribosomal RNA", at positions 28 to 511 of the family's 1533-position model. The record is from RNAcentral.
GAUGAACGCUAGCGGCAGGCUUAACACAUGCAAGUCGAGGGGCAGCACGGGUAGCAAUACUUGGUGGCGACCGGCGCAAGGGUGCGUAACGCGUGAGCAACAUGCCCGUAUCAGGGGGAUAAUCCAGGGAAACUUGGUCUAAUACCCCAUAGCAAUUAAAGGAGGCAUCUUUUUUAAUUUAAAGCUUUGGUGGAUACGGAUUGGCUCGCGUGACAUUAGCUAGAUGGUAAGGUAACGGCUUACCAUGGCUACGAUGUCUAGGGGUUCUGAGAGGAAGAUCCCCCACACUGGAACUGAGACACGGUCCAGACUCCUACGGGAGGCAGCAGUGAGGAAUAUUGGACAAUGGAUGGAAAUCUGAUCCAGCCAUGCCGCGUGCAGGAAGACGGCCCUAUGGGUUGUAAACUGCUUUUGUAUGGGAGCAAUAAGGUCUAUGCGUAGACUGAUGAGAGUACCAUACGAAUAAGCAUCGGCUAACUCCGUGCCAG